UACUGAAGUGUAGUGGUUUGAAUGUUGGACUAUGAAUCUGGAGGGCAGGGUUUGAAUCCCUGCUCAGCCA
Molecule: transfer RNA, 70 nt
Filed under: Phrynosoma platyrhinos (Desert horned lizard)
Lineage: Eukaryota; Metazoa; Chordata; Lepidosauria; Squamata; Phrynosomatidae
Description: tRNA-OTHER
Source: RNAcentral